UUUGGUGGGGACUUAAUCUCCGGGCUCACACCCUGUGGCCUUGAUUUCACCCAGCCAAAAAGCACCGGCUAACUCUGUGCCAGCAGCCGCGGUAAUACUUAAGGGUGCAAGCGUUAAUCGGAAUUACUGGGCGUAAAGCGCGCGUAAUCCGUUAUCUCAACCGGAUGUGAAAUCCCCGGGCUCAACCUGGGAAUUGCAUUCGAGACUGGUGGAAUUCCGUGCGGAAAAGGGAAAUUCAAUUUCCUGUGUAGCAAUGAAAUGGGUAAAUAUCGCAAGGAACAUCAGUGGCGAAGGCGGCUUCCUGGACCAUGACCGAGCAAUCAGGAUUAAAAGCGUGGGGAGCAAACAGGAUUAAAUACCCUGGUAAUCCACGCCAUAAACGAUGAGAACUAUGGGUUGAGAGGGUUAGCCUCCCUCCGUCCAAGCUAACACCGUCACUUCACCGCCUGGGGA
RNAcentral lists this ribosomal RNA (453 nucleotides) under uncultured Gammaproteobacteria bacterium. RNAcentral describes it as "bacterial SSU rRNA". It matches the Rfam family "Bacterial small subunit ribosomal RNA", at positions 434 to 879 of the family's 1533-position model. The record is from RNAcentral. Lineage: Bacteria; Pseudomonadati; Pseudomonadota; Gammaproteobacteria.